UGGGUAGUCCGCACGAGCGCACCUCAUCUUCAGUUGCUAACGCUUAGGGCGAGCACUUUGGAGAAACUGCCUGGGAUGACUAGGAGGAAGGCGAGGAUGACGUCAAGUCCUCAUGGCCCUUAUGGGCUGGGCUACACACGUGCUACAAUGGCGGUGACAACGGGAAGCAAAAGGGCAACCUCGAGCAAAUCCCCAAAAACCGUCUCAGUUCGGAUUGUACUCUGCAACUCGAGUGCAUGAAGUUGGAAUCGCUAGUAAUCGUGGAUCAGCAUGCCGCGGUGAAUACGUUCCCGGGCCUUGUACACACCGCCCGUCACACCAUGGGAGUUGGUUUUACCCGAAGGCGGUGCGCUAACCUUUAAGGAAGCAGCCGACCACGGUAGGGUCAGCGACUAGGGUGAAGUCGUAACAAGGUAGCCGUAGGGGAACCUGCGGCUGGAUCACCUCCUUUCU
This 453-nucleotide ribosomal RNA is filed under the name uncultured Alphaproteobacteria bacterium. RNAcentral's name for it is "bacterial SSU rRNA". It matches the Rfam family "Bacterial small subunit ribosomal RNA", at positions 1077 to 1533 of the family's 1533-position model. Lineage: Bacteria; Pseudomonadati; Pseudomonadota; Alphaproteobacteria. The record is from RNAcentral.